Molecule: ribosomal RNA, 432 nt
Filed under: Agrococcus sp.
Lineage: Bacteria; Bacillati; Actinomycetota; Actinomycetes; Micrococcales; Microbacteriaceae
Description: bacterial SSU rRNA
Rfam family: Bacterial small subunit ribosomal RNA
Source: RNAcentral
GGCUCAGGACGAACGCUGGCGGCGUGCUUAACACAUGCAAGUCGAACGAUGAAGGAGGAGCUUGCUCCUCCGGAUUAGUGGCGAACGGGUGAGUAACACGUGAGCAAUGUGCCCUUGACUCUGGAAUAAGCGCUGGAAACGGCGUCUAAUACCGGAUAUGACCUGCGGAGGCAUCUCCUGCAGGUGGAAAGAACUUCGGUCAAGGAUCAGCUCACGGCCUAUCAGCUAGUUGGUGAGGUAAUGGCUCACCAAGGCGACGACGGGUAGCCGGCCUGAGAGGGUGACCGGCCACACUGGGACUGAGACACGGCCCAGACUCCUACGGGAGGCAGCAGUGGGGAAUAUUGCACAAUGGGCGCAAGCCUGAUGCAGCAACGCCGCGUGAGGGACGACGGCCUUCGGGUUGUAAACCUCUUUUAGCAGGGAAGAAGC